AACCAACAGGGAUUGCCCCAGUAACGGCGAGUGAAGCGGCAACAGCUCAAAUUUGAAAUCUGGCCCCUAGGGUCCGAGUUGUAAUUUGUAGAGGAUGCUUUUGGUGAGGUGCCGCCCGAGUUCCCUGGAACGGGACGCCGCAGAGGGUGAGAGCCCCGUCUGGCUGGCCACCGAGCCUAUGUAAAGCUCCUUCGACGAGUCGAGUAGUUUGGGAAUGCUGCUCAAAAUGGGAGGUAUAUGUCUUCUAAAGCUAAAUAUUGGCCAGAGACCGAUAGCGCACAAGUAGAGUGAUCGAAAGAUGAAAAGCACCUUGAAAAGAGGGUUAAACAGUACGUGAAAUUGUUGAAAGGGAAGCGCUUGUGACCAGACUUGGGCGCGGCGGAUCAUCCGGGGUUCUCCCCGGUGCACUUCGCCGCGUUCAGGCCAGCAUCAGUUCGGCGCGGGGGAAAAAGGCUUCGGGAACGUGGCUCCUCCGGGAGUGUUAUAGCCCGUUGCAUAAUACCCUGCGCUGGACUGAGGACCGCGCAUCUGCAAGGAUGCUGGCGUAAUG
This 550-nucleotide ribosomal RNA is filed under the name Trichoderma viride. RNAcentral's name for it is "eukaryotic LSU rRNA". It matches the Rfam family "Eukaryotic large subunit ribosomal RNA", at positions 63 to 636 of the family's 3401-position model. Lineage: Eukaryota; Fungi; Ascomycota; Sordariomycetes; Hypocreales; Hypocreaceae. The record is from RNAcentral.